CCUACGGGUGGCAGCAGUCGAGAAUCAUUCACAAUGGGGGAAACCCUGAUGGUGCGACGCCGCGUGGGGGAAUGAAGUUCUUCGGAUUGUAAACCCCUGUCAUGUGGGAGCAAAUUCAAAAGAUCGUACCCCCAUAUGCAGAGCCGGCUAACUCUGUGCCAGCAGCCGCGGUAAUACAGAGGUCUCAAGCGUUGUUCGGAAUCACUGGGCGUAAGGCGUGCGUAGGCUGUUUCGUAAGUCGUGUGUGAAAGUCGCGGGCUCAACCCGCGGACGGCACAUGAUACUGCGAGACUAGAGUAAGGGAGGGGGAACCGGAAUUCUCGGUGUAGCAGUGAAAUGCGUAGAUAUCGAGAGGAACACUCGUGGCGAAGGCGGGUUCCUGGACAUUAACUGACGCUGAGGCACGAAGGCCAGGGGAGCGAAAGGGAUUAGAUACCCGAGUAGUC
RNAcentral lists this ribosomal RNA (446 nucleotides) under uncultured bacterium. RNAcentral describes it as "partial 16S ribosomal RNA". It matches the Rfam family "Bacterial small subunit ribosomal RNA", at positions 338 to 795 of the family's 1533-position model. The record is from RNAcentral.